This 476-nucleotide ribosomal RNA is filed under the name uncultured bacterium. RNAcentral's name for it is "bacterial SSU rRNA". It matches the Rfam family "Bacterial small subunit ribosomal RNA", at positions 542 to 1021 of the family's 1533-position model. The record is from RNAcentral.
UAUCCGGAUUUAUUGGGUUUAAAGGGAGCGUAGGCGGGUGCUUAAGUCAGUUGUGAAAGUUUGCGGCUCAACCGUAAAAUUGCAGUUGAUACUGGGUACCUUGAGUGCAGCAUAGGUAGGCGGAAUUCGUGGUGUAGCGGUGAAAUGCUUAGAUAUCACGAAGAACUCCGAUUGCGAAGGCAGCUUACUGGACUGUAACUGACGCUGAUGCUCGAAAGUGUGGGUAUCAAACAGGAUUAGAUACCCUGGUAGUCCACACAGUAAACGAUGAAUACUCGCUGUUGGCGAUACACAGUCAGCGGCCAAGCGAAAGCAUUAAGUAUUCCACCUGGGGAGUACGCCGGCAACGGUGAAACUCAAAGGAAUUGACGGGGGCCCGCACAAGCGAGAACAUGUGGUUUAAUUCGAUGAUACGCCAAGAACCUUACCCGGGCUUAAAUUGCAGCGGAAUGUUGUGGAAACAUUACAGCCUUCGG